AGUGAACGCUGGCGGUAGGCCUAACACAUGCAAGUCGAACGGCAGCACAGUAAGAGCUUGCUCUUACGGGUGGCGGGUGGCGGACGGGUGAGGAAUACAUCGGAAUUUACUUUUUCUUGCGUGAUAACGUAGGGAAACUUACGCUAAUACCGCAUACGACCUACGGGCGAAAGCAGGGGAUCUUCGGACCUUGCGCGAUUGAAUGAGCCGAUGUCGGAUUAGCUAGUUGGCGGGGUAAAGGCCCACCAAGGCGACGAUCCGUAGCUGGUCUGAGAGGAUGAUCAGCCACACUGGAACUGAGACACGGUCCAGACUCCUACGGGAGGCAGCAGUGGGGAAUAUUGGACAAUGGGCGCAAGCCUGAUCCAGCCAUACCGCGUGGGUGAAGAAGGCCUUCGGGUUGUAAAGCACUUUUGUUGGGAAAGAAAAGCAGCAGGUUAAUACCCCGCUGUUCUGACGGUACCCAAAGAAUAAGCACCGGCUAACUUCGUG
RNAcentral lists this ribosomal RNA (492 nucleotides) under uncultured bacterium. RNAcentral's name for it is "partial 16S ribosomal RNA". It matches the Rfam family "Bacterial small subunit ribosomal RNA", at positions 29 to 507 of the family's 1533-position model. The record is from RNAcentral.